CUGGGCACAGAGAGUUGCAUACUCCUGGCCCAUUCUGAGAGGUCUGUCCUCAAACCUCCUCCCUAAAGCUGCCACCCUCCAAAUCAAGAUCAUUCCAAGUCACUGAUCAUCCAGUCCAGCCACCAGCCUUUACUCGUGAAUUGAGCAAGAAGACAGCCAUGUAUGAACCAAGAAACGGGCCCUCACCAGAACCUGACCAUGCUGGCACCUCGAUCUUGGACUUCCCAGCCUUCAGACCUGUGAGAAAUAAAUUUCUGCUGUUCAUAAGCCA
This 271-nucleotide long non-coding RNA is filed under the name Homo sapiens (human). RNAcentral's name for it is "HSALNT0346380". The record is from RNAcentral. Lineage: Eukaryota; Metazoa; Chordata; Mammalia; Primates; Hominidae.